CAGCCGCCGCGGUAAAACCAGCACCCCAAGUGGUCAGGAUGAUUAUUGGGCCUAAAGCAUCCGUAGCCGGCUCUGUAAGUUUUCGGUUAAAUCUGUACGCUCAACGUACAGGCUGCCGGGAAUACUGCAGAGCUAGGGGGUGGGAGAGGUAGACGGUACUCGGUAGGAAGUGGUAAAAUGCUUUGAUCUAUCGAUGACCACCUGUGGCAAAGGCGGUCUACCAGAACACGUCCGACGGUGAGGGAUGAAAGCUGGGGGAGCAAACCGGAUUAGAUACCCGGGUAGUCCCAGCUGUAAACUAUGCAAACUCAGUGAUGCAUUGGCUUGUGGCCAAUGCAGUGCUGCAGGGAAGCCGUUAAGUUUGCCGCCUGGGAAGUACGUACGCAAGUAUGAAACUUAAAGGAAUUGGCGGGGGAGCAC
Molecule: ribosomal RNA, 420 nt
Filed under: uncultured Nitrososphaerota archaeon
Lineage: Archaea; Thermoproteati; Nitrososphaerota
Description: bacterial SSU rRNA
Rfam family: Archaeal small subunit ribosomal RNA
Source: RNAcentral